UACGGAGGGUGCGAGCGUUGUCCGGAAUCACUGGGCGUAAAGGGCGCGUAGGUGGCCCGUGGAAGUCUGCGGUGAAAGCCCGGCGCUCAACGCCGGGUCGGCCGUGGAUACUCUCGGGCUUGAGCUUACUAGAGGCAGAUGGAAUUCCGGGUGUAGCGGUGGAAUGCGUAGAGAUCGGGAGGAACACCAGUGGCGAAGGCGGCCUUCUGGACCAGCACUGACACUCAAGCACGAAAGCGUGGGGAGCAAACAGG
RNAcentral lists this ribosomal RNA (254 nucleotides) under uncultured bacterium. Its description in RNAcentral is "partial 16S ribosomal RNA". It matches the Rfam family "Bacterial small subunit ribosomal RNA", at positions 524 to 776 of the family's 1533-position model. The record is from RNAcentral.